Molecule: long non-coding RNA, 1855 nt
Filed under: Sus scrofa (pig)
Lineage: Eukaryota; Metazoa; Chordata; Mammalia; Artiodactyla; Suidae
Description: lncRNA (ENSSSCG00025025649.1)
Source: RNAcentral
AGUAUCCUCUCAGACACACUAACUUUCAUUUAUAAAUGCUAAAUGUUAGAAACUUCUGGCACACUUAGUACUUUACUAGCAAGUAGCCCUUUGUGUAUGUUAAGAUGAAGAUACAUAGCAUUGACCUUCAUUAUCUUUCAGGACCUGGAGAAAGGUGUUCUUUUUGCAUGUGUACACAGUCAUUGUGAGAAUUGCUAACUUAGAGAUAUGUAUGGAGAAGAUAUCAUGGAAGGAGGUGGGGAAAACUACCCAGCUACCUAAGUAAUGUGAGGAGGUUUCUUGGAUUGGUGCUCUUUGAACUGGGUUAUAAACAUGCGCAGGAAUUUAGUAGGGCUGAGGAUAGCAGUAGGGCACUUCAAGUGAAGGAAACAGAAUACACGGAGGGAUAGAAUGGUCUAUAGGUUCUCAGUCCUUAACUAGCCAUUCUGAAAUCCCAAAACCUUUAAAAAGGAAAGGUUUUUCUUUUUUUUUUUUCUUUUUGUUUUGUUUUUAUUUUUGUUUUCUAGGGCCACAGCUGGGGCAUAUGGAAGUUCCCAGGCUAAUGGUUGAAUAGGACCUGUAGCCAUCAGCCUGUGCCACAGCCACAGCAAUGCUGGGAUCCAAGCCUCGUCUGCAACCUACACCACAACGCCAGAUUCUUAACCCAAUGAGUGAGGCCAGGGAUCAAACCCACAUCCUCAUGGACACUUGUCAGUUUCGUCACUGCUGAGCCACAAUGGGAACUCCUAAAAACUGAAGGUUUUUAAUUCAUUUGACAACAAAAUUGACCUGAAGUGAUGUGAGGCUAUGUGUGGUUUCUCUUUAUCGCCAUUAGUAUUAAUAUUCACAUAUUUAGUUGUAGAAAUAUUAAUGUUUUUAUGUUUUGUGUUUAAUGUUUUUAUAGGGUGUAUCACCAUACUACAUUGAAAGUUUUAUAUAAUAGAUGCUAUAUGCACUUAUAAUACUUUUAUAAAAUCUGAAAAUUUCUGAAUUCCAAACAUUUGGCCCUGAGAAUUUCAGGUAAGGGAUUGCAUAACUUUGGGCAGCUAGAGAAUUUCAUUAUGGUUUGGGGAAAAAGUGACAUUUGGGGGUGUGGUGGGUGAUUGAUAAUGAGAGUGAGAAUUAGAAAAUUAAGGAAGAAUCAUUUGAAUGCCUUGAAUUCUCUAAGAAUUUCACAGAGAAUUAUAUAUGUCAUAUGUCAGACUUACCUGUACAUUGCUCUGUGUAUUAGUUUCAUAGGGUUGCCAUCACAAAGUACCACAUACUGAGUGGCUGUUUAUAAAUAGAAGCUUAUUGUCUCCUAGUUCUAGAGGCCAGAAGUCUGAAAUCAAGAUGUUAGUAGGAUUAGUCCCUUCUGAGAGCUGUGAGAGAGGAGCUAUUCCAAAACCUGGAAGUUAAUUAUUAUUGUUCUCAUUUCUAUGGAUGACUCAGAGAGGGCCAGUUAACAUCUCUAAGGUUACACAGUAAAUAGUAGCGGACUUAGAAUUCAGUCUUUGGCUCUUCUACCUCUAUAGACAAAGCUUUGGGUUUUUGCCUUGUAUUGGAAAAUGGUUAAACCCAAAAGAGGAAUCCAUCCCUUGGAACUACCUCAGGAUGGUACAUAAAACCUCGCUUCCCCCUUUUGCUGCUCACAUGACUGUGGAUUUUUGAAAGUUGUAGGGGUGUAUGUGUCAGAUGGGUAGGAUCUGCCAUCUCUGGUGUUAUACACUGUCAGCUCUGAUUCAAAAAGGCACUCUACAAAGCAGUGUAUCAAGAUUUGCAAUUCCAAGAGUUCCGUUAUGGCCUAGUAGGUUAAGGAUCUGGCAUUGUCACUGCAGUGGUUCAGGUUGAUGCUGUGUCAUGGGUUUGGCACAGCCAAAAAAAAAAAAAAAAAAAA